CCUACGGGAGGCAGCAGUGGGGAAUAUUGGACAAUGGGGGCAACCCUGAUCCAGCAAUUCCGCGUGGGUGAAGAAGGCCUUCGGGUUGUAAAGCCCUUUAGGCAGGGAAGAAAAGCCGUACGUAAAUAAUGUACGGUCUUGACGGUACCUGCGGAAUAAGCACCGGCUAACUCUGUGCCAGCAGCCGCGGUAAUACAGAGGGUGCAAGCGUUAAUCGGAUUUACUGGGCGUAAAGCGUGCGUAGGCGGCCAGACAAGUCGGAUGUGAAAUCCCCGAGCUUAACUUGGGAACUGCAUCCGAAACUAUCUGGCUAGAGUGUGGUAGAGGGCGGUGGAAUUCCCGGUGUAGCGGUGAAAUGCGUAGAUAUCGGGAGGAACAUCAAUGGCGAAGGCAGCUGCCUGGGCCAACACUGACGCUGAGGUACGAAAGCGUGGGGAGCA
RNAcentral lists this ribosomal RNA (440 nucleotides) under uncultured bacterium. RNAcentral describes it as "bacterial SSU rRNA". It matches the Rfam family "Bacterial small subunit ribosomal RNA", at positions 338 to 770 of the family's 1533-position model. The record is from RNAcentral.